AAACCUGUCAGUUGCCAAUGGACACUAUAUCCCACAAUGCAUUGCACAAAGCAAAUGGUGGAUCCACUAACAGCUGGAAAACAUUAAGCUAUUUGUGGAUGGUGGUGAAACAGCUCCAGGAACUCCUCAUAAACAAAAAAACAAACUGAACAUUAUAACCUUCACGAAGAGAGGAUUUCUGCAGAUGGUUUGUUGUGAUCUGUGAUCCUGUGAUUAUCAUUAGUGACAGGAAGUCAGCAGGAGUUGGAGUGGAACUGCCGUGCAAGGUCAGGAAAACAUUUGCAUGUAUUUGCUGUUGCAGCUGGAGAGAGGACACAGGUGUAAGCCGGACUCACCUGCUGGGACGAAGCCUACAGCACCAACUCUGAAGCAGACAUGAACCAGAAGGAGGAGCUGCUGCUGAGACAGAUGUUGCAGGAAAAGAGACAUCAUCAUCAUCAUCAUCAAGCCCACUAAAGCAACUCUUCACUCUGGACGGGGUCACGGGUCAUCUUGCUGGGGCGUCCUCAUUGCCGAACCUCCACGUAGUUGGCUGGGAAAAGGCCGUAGGCGCCACCGCACACGCCUCGCCACCAGCCUUCGUCGAUCAUCUCGAUGUUGGUGAUGAUGUCAUCGGGGUCAAAGGAUAUCUCAUCUUCACCAGCUGAAACGGUAUCCGUGGACCGGGGUUACACCUGGAUCCCUGCUUGACACCCACUGCUACUAUCAUUAUCACAGUUUUUAUUAUUAUUAGUAGUCAUAUCUCUAUUAAUAUAUAUUACAGCUAUUAUUACUGAUAUUUCUUUUAUCACUCUUUAUGUAGUGUUUUAUAAUUUUAUGGUUUUUAUUUUUAAUA
Sebastes umbrosus (honeycomb rockfish) is the source of this 835-nucleotide long non-coding RNA. RefSeq lists it as uncharacterized. The record is from RefSeq and is a predicted model, not a curated record. NCBI's taxonomy places the organism in Eukaryota, Metazoa, Chordata, Actinopteri, Perciformes, Sebastidae. The transcript is spliced from 6 exons.